GACCGCGUAGUUCAGUUGGCAGAGCAUUGGGCUAGUAUUCCAAAGGUCGUAGGUUCGAUUCCCACCGUGGCCA
This 73-nucleotide transfer RNA is filed under the name Paramuricea clavata. It matches the Rfam family "tRNA". From Rfam's summary of the family: Transfer RNA (tRNA) molecules are approximately 80 nucleotides in length. Lineage: Eukaryota; Metazoa; Cnidaria; Anthozoa; Malacalcyonacea; Plexauridae. The record is from Rfam by way of RNAcentral.